This is a non-coding RNA of Pelobates cultripes (western spadefoot toad), 227 nucleotides long. The record is from the annotation of a GenBank genome assembly. NCBI's taxonomy places the organism in Eukaryota, Metazoa, Chordata, Amphibia, Anura, Pelobatidae.
UGAUGAUAUGUUUUUUCUUGUUUUUGUAAAUGUUGGAAUGUUUUUACUUAAAGAACAAGUUCCAACGACACACUGAUAAUGGCAAAAUUAUUUGACUGGCAGGUAAGACCUUCUUUCAUCCUGAGGUCAUCAUGAAAUAUAGUGAGGUUUAUUCACUAACCUAGGAAUUGCAAAGAAUUGAGUAGAUCAUUGCAUAUUUUAGGCCAAUUAUCAGAAAUAGAAUUAAA